GAUUUCUGUUUUUGUUUUUCCAUGUGUGGAAGUGGCACACAUCACUUCUACUCUCAUUUCUUUGCCAGGUUUCCAUCAUAUGACUCACACCCCUAACCACCAAACAAAAGGAUGGUUGGAAAAUGUAGUCUUCCCAUGUGUUAAAGAAGAAGAUAUAUUUGGUUCUUCAAACCCAAGAGAAAUUUCAAGCAGAAGACUAUGAAUGUUGCAGACCUUCUUUUCCCUUCUUUUGUCACAGCUGAUAGGGGCUGUGUAUUCUCAGUCCAUGAGAAGAGCUAAAGAGAAGCAAAUUUUCACUUCAAUGCUUGAGAAUACAUUUUACACAUUAUUUAUAACAUUGGUGGGAUUUAAACUAUUUUGAAUUUCUGUAUUUAUUUACUUUUUUUUCUCAUAAUGUUAGAUCCUUAUCAAAAGUUUUCUUGUUAAGUGAACUUUGGUAUAGAAUUAAUGUUUUCUAUCCAGACUUCCCUAGAAAAUAUAGCAGUUGUGUCACUAUGGAUUAAUGUUAUAUAACCAUGAUAUACCUACUCAUUUGUUGAUGACCAAUUUUAAAAAGAUUCUAUAAUGUGGAAUCCAUUAUGGAGAAUGGGUAUAAGAAUAUGUUUCUUACCUUUUUCACAAAUGAAUUGAGAACAUCCAUUUUGGUUGAAUGCAAUUAAUUAUUUUUACUAACAGUUAAAAUAUAUGGCAUAAAAAUAUAAUACUUAAAUAAAAGCAGGUGUAUAUUUCCA
Molecule: long non-coding RNA, 731 nt
Filed under: Vulpes vulpes (red fox)
Lineage: Eukaryota; Metazoa; Chordata; Mammalia; Carnivora; Canidae
Description: lncRNA (ENSVVUG00000029369.1)
Source: RNAcentral